This 659-nucleotide ribosomal RNA is filed under the name Nerophis ophidion (straightnose pipefish). RNAcentral's name for it is "partial small subunit ribosomal RNA". It matches the Rfam family "Bacterial small subunit ribosomal RNA", at positions 517 to 1491 of the family's 1533-position model. Lineage: Eukaryota; Metazoa; Chordata; Actinopteri; Syngnathiformes; Syngnathidae. The record is from RNAcentral.
GCGGUUAUACGUGUAACCCAAGAUGACAGAAACCGGCGUAAAGAGUGGUUAGGGAAAACAAGAACUAAAGCUGAACACCUUUUUGACCGUAUAACGUAUUCAAAAUUAGAAAAUCCAUCACGAAAGUAGCUUUAACCCCCCCCUGAUUCCACGAAAGCUAUUAAACAAACUGGGAUUAGAUACCCCACUAUGCCUAGCAGUAAACUGAUGAGUAGUUACACCCAACAUCCGCCUGGGUAUUACAAGCACCAGCUUAAAAUCCAAAAGACCUGGCGGUGCUUUAAAACCCCCUAGAGGAGCCUGUUCUAUAAUCGAUAACCCCCGUUCAACCUCACCCUCUUUUGCCAUUACCGUUUGUAUACCGCCGUCGUCAGCUUACCCUGUGAAGGGUUUAUAGUGAGCACAAUUGAUUGAACCUUAUACGUCAGGUCAAGGUGUAGCUUAUAAGAGGGAAAGUAAUGGGCUACAUUCGCUCACCAGCGUAUUACGAAUGCAACCUGAAAUCUCAUGACUAUGAAGGAGGAUUUAGUAGUAAGGGAGAAAUAGAGUAUCCCCCUGAAGCAGGCGCUAAAGCACGCACACACCGCCCGUCACUCUCCCCUUUUCUACACAACGUUAAAUAAACACCACUUAGAAAACUUAGGGGAGGCAAGUCGUAA